UAUGACCCAUCAAUAGUUCAUCAUGCCU
RNAcentral lists this small RNA (28 nucleotides) under Bombyx mori (domestic silkworm). RNAcentral describes it as "ovarian small RNA-23872". The record is from RNAcentral. Lineage: Eukaryota; Metazoa; Arthropoda; Insecta; Lepidoptera; Bombycidae.